GAUGAACGCUGGCGGCGUGCCUAAUACAUGCAAGUCGAGCGAACAGACGAGGAGCUUGCUCCUCUGACGUUAGCGGCGGACGGGUGAGUAACACGUGGAUAACCUACCUAUAAGACUGGCAUAACUUCGGGAAACCGGAGCUAAUACCGGAUAAUAUAUUGAACCGCAUGGUUCAAUAGUGAAAGACGGUUUUGCUGUCACUUAUAGAUGGAUCCGCGCCGCAUUAGCUAGUUGGUAAGGUAACGGCUUACCAAGGCAACGAUGCGUAGCCGACCUGAGAGGGUGAUCGGCCACACUGGAACUGAGACACGGUCCAGACUCCUACGGGAGGCAGCAGUAGGGAAUCUUCCGCAAAGGGCGAAAGCCUGACGGAGCAACGCCGCGUGAGUGAUGAAGGUCUUCGGAUCGUAAAACUCUGUUAUUAGGGAAGAACAAAUGUGUAAGUAACUAUGCACGUCUUGACGGUACCUAAUCAGAAAGCCACGGCUAACUACGUG
RNAcentral lists this ribosomal RNA (497 nucleotides) under uncultured bacterium. RNAcentral describes it as "partial 16S ribosomal RNA". It matches the Rfam family "Bacterial small subunit ribosomal RNA", at positions 28 to 507 of the family's 1533-position model. The record is from RNAcentral.